RNAcentral lists this ribosomal RNA (1441 nucleotides) under metagenome. Its description in RNAcentral is "bacterial SSU rRNA". It matches the Rfam family "Bacterial small subunit ribosomal RNA". The record is from RNAcentral.
AGAGUUUGAUCCUGGCUCAGGAUGAACGCUGGCGGCGUGUCUAAGGCAUGCAAGUCGUAUGGGUUUAGACCCAUGGCAAACGGGAGAGGAGCACAUUGGUAACUUACCCUGAAGUCGAGAAUAACUCCGAGAAAUCGGAAAUAAUACUCGAUGAUCGUGGGGGGACAUAUGUCAUUCCCACGUAAAGAUUUAUCGCUUCAGGAGAGGCCUACGUCCUAUCAGCUUGUUGGUGAGGGUAAAAGCCCACCAAGGCUAUGACGGGUACCGGGUGUGAGAGCAUGACCCGGCUCACUGGGACUGAGACACUGCCCAGACUCCUACGGGAGGCUGCAGUCAAGAAUAUUCCCCAAUGCACGAAAGUGUGAGGGAGCGACGCCGCGUGUAUGAAGACGCCCUUCGGGGUGUAAAGUACUUUUUUAUGGGACGAAUUUCUGACGGUACCAUAAGAAUAAGGGGCUGCUAACCUCGUGCCAGCAGCAGCGGUAAUACGAGGGCCCCAAGCGUUAUCCGGAUUUAUUGGGCGUAAAGGGUCCGCAGGCGGCCUUAUGCAUCUUCUGUUAAAUCUACCGGCUCAACCGGUAGGCCGCGGAAGAGAUGGUAAGGCUAGAGGCCGGGAAAGGCGAGUAGAAUUGCUGGUGUAGGAGUUAAAUCCGUUAAUAUCAGCAGGAAUACCAAAUGCGAAGGCAGCUCGCUGGAACGUGCCUGACGCUCAGGGACGAAAGCGUGGGUAGCGAAGGGGAUUAGAUACCCCCGUAGUCCACGCCGUAAACGAUGGAUGCUAAGCAUUGGCAGUUUCGACCCUGUCAGUGCUGUUUAUUUAAGCUAACGCGUUAAGCAUCCCGCCUGGGGAGUACGGCCGCAAGGCUAAAACUCAAAGGAAUAGACGGGGACCCGCACAAGCGGUGGAGCGUGCGGUUUAAUUCGAUAAUACGCGAGGAACCUCACCCAGACUUGACAUCUAGCUGCAGACCCUAGGAAACUAGGGAGCCUUCGAGGGUGCUAGACAGAUGGUGCAUGGUUGUCGUCAGCUCGUGUCGUGAGAUGUACCGUUAAGUCGGGAAACGAGCGCAACCCCUAUCCUAUGUUUUACAUGUCAUAGGAAACUGCCCGCUUUAAGUGGGAGGAAGGUGGGGACGACGUCAAAUCAGCAUGUCUCUUACGUCUGGGGCGACACGCGCGCUACAAUGGGAAGUACAAAGGGACGCCAAACCGCGAGGUGGAGCAAAUCCCAUAAAACUUCUCUCAGUUCGGAUUGGAGUCUGCAACUCGACUCCAUGAAGCCGGAAUCGCUAGUAAACGCAUAUCAGCCACGGUGCGUUGAAUACGUUCUCGGGUCUUGUACUCACCGCCCGUCACACCAAGAGAGCCGGCAAUACCCGUAGGUCCAGCCUAGCUGGAACGAAGGUAGGGCUGGUGAUAAGGGUGAAGUCGUAACAAGGCA